CCUUCGCGACUUGUUUCAGGUGCUCUGUGGCCAUGGGUCGACAGGGUGAAACAGGGAAGCCGGUGAGUGCGUGUUCCGAACAGGAACGGGCGACGAUUCCGGCGCUGCCCCCGCAACGGUAAGUGAGUCAAGACCGCGCUUGGUGCCACUGUGUCGAACCGACAUGGGAAGGCGCGCGGUUCGGCAUUAGUGCUGCUCACAAGCCCGGAGACCGGCCUGAUCCAUCCAACGGCA
RNAcentral lists this non-coding RNA (234 nucleotides) under Pseudomonas sp. The record is from RNAcentral. Lineage: Bacteria; Pseudomonadati; Pseudomonadota; Gammaproteobacteria; Pseudomonadales; Pseudomonadaceae.